This 405-nucleotide ribosomal RNA is filed under the name uncultured bacterium. RNAcentral describes it as "bacterial SSU rRNA". It matches the Rfam family "Bacterial small subunit ribosomal RNA", at positions 355 to 776 of the family's 1533-position model. RNAcentral also lists the same sequence under 2 other names. The record is from RNAcentral.
UUAGGAAUCUUGCGCAAUGGGGGAAACCCUGACGCAGCGACGCCGCGUGGGCGAAGAAGGCCUUCGGGUUGUAAAGCCCUUUUCCGGGGGAAGAUAGUGACGGUACCCCGGGAAUAAGCCCCGGCUAACUACGUGCCAGCAGCCGCGGUAAUACGUAGGGGGCGAGCGUUGUCCGGAUUUACUGGGCGUAAAGGGCGCGCAGGCGGUUCCGUAAGUCGGCCGUGAAAUCUCCCGGCUCAACUGGGAGGGGUCGGUCGAAACUGCGGGGCUUGGAAGGCGGUAGGGGAGGAUGGAAUUCCCGGUGUAGUGGUGAAAUGCGUAGAUAUCGGGAGGAACACCGAUGGCGAAAGCGAUCCUCUGGGCCGUUCUUGACGCUGAGGCGCGAAAGCGUGGGGAGCGAACUGA